RNAcentral lists this small nuclear RNA (107 nucleotides) under Tupaia belangeri (northern tree shrew). Lineage: Eukaryota; Metazoa; Chordata; Mammalia; Scandentia; Tupaiidae. The record is from RNAcentral.
GUGCUCAUUUCAGCGGCACGUACAGUAAAAUUGGAACAAUACAGAGAAGAUUAGCAUGGCUCCUGCGCAAGAAUGAUACACAAAUUCAUGAACCGUUCCAUAUUUUU